RNAcentral lists this ribosomal RNA (468 nucleotides) under uncultured bacterium. RNAcentral's name for it is "partial 16S ribosomal RNA". It matches the Rfam family "Bacterial small subunit ribosomal RNA", at positions 28 to 507 of the family's 1533-position model. The record is from RNAcentral.
GACGAACGCUGGCGGCGUGCUUAACACAUGCAAGUCGAACGGAAAGGCCCUGCUUUUGUGGGGUGCUCGAGUGGCGAACGGGUGAGUAACACGUGAGUAACCUGCCCUUGACUUUGGGAUAACAUCAGGAAACUGGGGCUAAUACCGGAUAGGAGCUCCUGCUGCAUGGGGGGGGUUGGAAAGUUUCGGCGGUUGGGGAUGGACUCGCGGCUUAUCAGCUUGUUGGGGAGGUAGUGGCUUACCAAGGCUUUGACGGGUAGGCGGCCUGAGAGGUUGACCGGCCACCAUGGGACUGAGAGACGGACCAGACUCCUACGGGAGGCAGCAGGGGGGAAUAUUGCACAAUGGGCGGACGCCUGAUGCAGCAACGCCGGGUGCGGGAUGACGGCCUUCGGGGUGUAAACCGCUUUGGACUGUGACGAAGCGUGCGUGACGGUAACGGGUCAAGAAGCACCGGCUAACUACGUG